CAGCAGCCGCGGUAAUACAGAGGAUGCAAGCGUUAUCCGGAAUGAUUGGGCGUAAAGCGUCUGUAGGUGGCUUUUCAAGUCCGCCGUCAAAUCCCAGGGCUCAACCCUGGACAGGCGGUGGAAACUACCAAGCUGGAGUACGGUAGGGGCAGAGGGAAUUUCCAGUGGAGCGGUGAAAUGCGUUGAGAUCGAAAAGAACACCAACAGCGAAAGCACUCUGCUGGGACGACACUGACACUAAGAGACGAAAGCUAGGGGAGCAAAUGGGAUUAGAUACCCCUGUAGUCCCUGUCUCUUAUAC
Molecule: ribosomal RNA, 301 nt
Filed under: uncultured bacterium
Lineage: Bacteria
Description: partial 16S ribosomal RNA
Rfam family: Bacterial small subunit ribosomal RNA
Source: RNAcentral